This 77-nucleotide ribosomal RNA is filed under the name Amycolatopsis sp. CM201R. Its description in RNAcentral is "partial 16S ribosomal RNA". It matches the Rfam family "Bacterial small subunit ribosomal RNA", at positions 1 to 77 of the family's 1533-position model. Lineage: Bacteria; Bacillati; Actinomycetota; Actinomycetes; Pseudonocardiales; Pseudonocardiaceae. The record is from RNAcentral.
UUGUUGGAGAGUUUGAUCCUGGCUCAGGACGAACGCUGGCGGCGUGCUUAACACAUGCAAGUCGAACGCUGAAGCAC